Molecule: ribosomal RNA, 468 nt
Filed under: uncultured bacterium
Lineage: Bacteria
Description: partial 16S ribosomal RNA
Rfam family: Bacterial small subunit ribosomal RNA
Source: RNAcentral
GACGAACGCUGGCGGCGUGCUUAACACAUGCAAGUCGAACGGAAAGGCCCUGCUUUUGUGGGGUGCUCGAGUGGCGAACGGGUGAGUAACACGUGAGUAACCUGCCCUUGACUUUGGGAUAACUUCAGGAAACUGGGGCUAAUACCGGAUAGGAGCUCCUGCUGCAUGGUGGGCGUUGGCCAGUUUCGGCGGUUGGGGAUGGACUCGCGGCUUAUCAGCUUGUUGGUGGGGUAGUGGCUUACCAAGGCUUUGACGGGUAGCCGGCCUGAGAGGGUGACCGGCCACAUUGGGACUGAGAUGCGGCCCAGACGCGUACGGGAGGCAGCAGUGGGGAAUGGUGCAGGAUGGGCGGAAGCCUGAUGCAGCAGCGGCGGGUGCGGGAGGAGGGCCUUCGGGGUGUAAACCGCUUUGGCGUGGGAGGAAGCGUGAGUGGCGGUAAUGGGUGAGGAGGCACCGGCUAACUACGUG